GAGCUUCGGCAGCACAUAUACUAAAAAUGGAACGCUACAGAGAAGAUUAGCAUGGCCCCUGCCCAAGGAUGAUACACAAAUUCGUAUCAUAAUACACAAACAA
Small nuclear RNA from Suncus etruscus (white-toothed pygmy shrew), 103 nucleotides. NCBI's taxonomy places the organism in Eukaryota, Metazoa, Chordata, Mammalia, Eulipotyphla, Soricidae. The record is from RefSeq and is a predicted model, not a curated record.